AAAAGGGGAGCAAUCCUCUGAGUAAAGCGGCGCACGGGUGAGUAACACGUGGGUAAUCUGCCCUGGAGUGGGGAAUAACACCGGGAAACCGGUGCUAAUACCGCAUACGAUCACGAUUUCUGCGGAUGACGUGAUGAAAGGAGCAAUUCGCUCUAGGAGGAGCCCGCGGCUGAUUAGCUAGUUGGUGAGGUAAUGGCUCACCAAGGCUACGAUCAGUAUCCGGUCUGAGAGGACGGUCGGACACACUGGAACUGAGACACGGUCCAGACUCCUACGGGAGGCAGCAGUGGGGAAUUUUUCGCAAUGGGGGCAACCCUGACGAAGCAACGCCGCGUGGAUGAUGAAGUAUCUCGGUACGUAAAAUCCUUUCGACAGGGAAGAAACCCGCAAGGGUUGACGGUACCUGUAGAAGAAGCCCCGGCUAACUCCGUGCCAGCAGCCGCGGUAAUACGGGGGGGGCAAGCGUUGUUCGGAAUUACUGGGCGUAAAGGGCGCGUAGGCGGUUUGUUAAGUUGGAUGUGAAAACUCUGGGCUUAACCCAGAGCCUGCAUCCAAAACUAGCAGACUAGAGUUCUGGAGGGGAUAGCGGAAUUCCUGGUGUAGCGGUGAAAUGCGUAGAUAUCAGGAGGAACACCGGUGGCGAAGGCGGCUAUCUGGACAGAGUCUGACGCUGAGGCGCGAAAGCUAGGGGAGCAAACAGGAUUAGAUACCCUGGUAGUCCUAGCCCUAAACGAUGGAUACUUGCUGUGACUGGGAUUGAAUCCAGUCGUGGCGAAGCUAACGCAUUAAGUAUCCCGCCUGGGGAGUACGGUCGCAAGGCUGAAACUC
RNAcentral lists this ribosomal RNA (828 nucleotides) under uncultured Pseudomonadota bacterium. RNAcentral's name for it is "bacterial SSU rRNA". It matches the Rfam family "Bacterial small subunit ribosomal RNA", at positions 70 to 902 of the family's 1533-position model. Lineage: Bacteria; Pseudomonadati; Pseudomonadota. The record is from RNAcentral.